UACAAUGGCCGGUACAAAGAGAAGCGAGGCUGUGAAGCGGAGCAAAUCUCAAAAACCGGUCCCAGUUCGGAUUGUAGGCUGCAACUCGCCUACAUGAAGUCGGAGUUGCUAGUAAUCGCGGAUCAGAAUGCCGCGGUGAAUGCGUUCCCGGGUCUUGUACACACCGCCCGUCACACCAUGGAAGUUGGGGGCGCCCGAAGUUGCCUAAGAAAUAAGGUACCUAAGGCGAAACCAAUGACUGGGGUGAAGUCGUAACAAGGUAUC
This 264-nucleotide ribosomal RNA is filed under the name uncultured bacterium. Its description in RNAcentral is "partial 16S ribosomal RNA". It matches the Rfam family "Bacterial small subunit ribosomal RNA", at positions 1226 to 1500 of the family's 1533-position model. The record is from RNAcentral.